UUUUUUUUUUUUUUUGGUUUUUCGAGACAGGGUUUCUCUGUGUAGCUUUGCGCCUUUCCUGGGACUCACUUGGUAGCCCAGGCUGGCCUCGAACUCACAGAGAUCCGCCUGGCUCUGCCUCCCGAGUGCUGGGAUUAAAGGCGUGCGCCACCACCGCCCGGCUAAUACUUUUUUUUAAAAAAGUACAUUUAUUUAUUCUACUGUGUGUGUAGUAUGUGCGCGCGCACAGGUGUGUGUGUGUGUGUGUGUGUGUGUGUGUGUGUGUGUGUGUGUGUGUGUGUGAAAGAGAGAGGGAGAGGGAGAGGGAGGGAGAAUUAGGUCAGAGAACAACUUACUUACAGGCUUCUCUUCUCUGUGUCCACCACGUGGUUUCUGGGGAUUGAACUCAGUCUGUCUCGCUUGGCUGCAAUCCCCUUUACGGCUGAGCCAUCUCCUCAGCCCUUUUCAAUCUUUGUGUGCAGAUCUUGCCUGCAUCUCUUGUGGUCCUGAAGAGUGGAGGUGGGCUGAAGUUGAAUGUUGAUAUGUGGAGAAUUUUCUUAGUCGGUUUGAUAUUUUCUAGAAGAAGCUUGUUUUCCAUUUUUUGUAGAAACAGAAAUAACUGAAAGCUUCUAGCUCUGCUAUCAAGCUAAGCUUUGCAGCUUCAAACUGAACACCCAGGGGUAGAUUAUUCCCCCUGACAUAGGUGUGUGUUCUUUGUGUAAUAAAGCAGACCAACCAUCCAGUCACAUCUGCAGUUAGGACUAAACAGAUGUGGAAGGCCUUCUGGUUUACCUUGCCCCAAGGUCUACACCCUUUACCCCACCCAGACUCUAGAGCUGAAGUCCACUGGGUUGUGAGUCGGGAAAGGUCAUGCUCCGUCAUUUCAGCCUAGGCAACAGGAAGUUGAUUCUAGACUCCUUCCUUCCCACCCCACUUUGUUUUUAAUUUUGCAGAGCUAAAGGUAUGGAGGAUUUCUUAUAAAAAUACUUUCUUCUUUAGGGGCUGGAGAGAUGGCUCGGUGAUUAAGAGCACUGGCUGCUCUUACCAGUGACCUGGAUUCCGUUCCCUAGCAUCUACUACUGGGUUGCCCACAACCCUUCCUAACUCUAGUUCCGGGGGAUCCAGUGCCCUCUUGUGGCCUCCAAGGGCACCAGCCACACACAUAUGGUGUACAAGGGCGUGCGCGCACGCACGCACGCACGCACGCACGCACGCACACACACACACACACACGCACAUGCAUACACACAUACACUACACAUACAUACAUACACACAUACAUACAUACAUACAUAUUCUAAAAUAUAUUUUUCUUUACUACUUUAGAGAUUCUGUCCCACUAUUAUUCUAAUUAAAAAGUCAUUUUUUUUUUUUUUAGAGGCCUUACGCAUCAGAAAGGAGGAUUUGGGAUUGUACAAUGCCUUAGGAAACUUAGAUUUUUAUUUUAGUUUUGUAUUUUUGAUUUGUUUGGGUUUUAUGAAAUAGGAUUCUGAGUAUCUUAGACCUCUCUCUCUCUCUUCCUCUCUCCCUCAACAAGGUCUUUAUAUGAUAUAGCUCUGGCUAUCCUGGAACUCACUGUGUAGACCAGGCUGGCCUCAAAUUCACAGAGAUCUGCCUCCCUCUGCCUUCCGGCCCCAGGCUGCUCUUGAACUAGUGACUCGAUGGUGUCUGCCUCCCAGAUGCUAAGAUGACAGGCAUGCACCACCAUGUCCAGAAGGAACUCACACUUUGAAGAGAUGUUUUGUCUUUGUUUUUCUUCUUUCUCGUGAUCCCUCAUCUCAUUCCCACCCGCAGUGCUGGAAACUGACCUCGUACAUGCUUGGCAAACACGCUUACUGCUGAGCUACCCUCCUAGCCCUUCAGUAGACUUUUAGAAAAACUUGAGUGUUUGUGUGUGUGUGUGUGUGUGUGUGUGUGUGUGUGUGUGUGUGUGUGUGUGCAGGCGGUUGGUUACUGUCAUUGUUUUGUUGAGGACAGCCACAGCUGAGCAGGAAGCUUUCAUGGAGAACUCUGGACAGGCUCCAGUUGGUCAGGGAAGGCUGCACACACUGCUCUGUUUGUUCAGUGAGCCUUCAUAUGGUGUUUGCUUCUCCUGCCUUUCUAGAGCCCAUCUGCCCUGGGGAGAAUGGGCAUGGCAGUUCUGUUGUAGAAAGAAAAACGAAUACUUUCCUGUUCCAUUGGCAGUGGAACCUUCCAUAGACUUGUGAAGUGUUGCCGAAGAUGGUGAGGAUGUGCCGCUAGGUGAUAACUUACACAUACACUUUUAGAUUCCCCAAUUCUCUCAGGCAUUCCCAGGAAGCAUGCUAUCCUUUUUUCUCCUACCGGGCAUUGAACCGAGGACCUCAAGCAUGUUGGUCAAGCACACUACCACUGAGCUACACUUCCCAGGAGUGCACUUUAACUUUUGACCUUUCGUGUAGGCUUAAUGGUCAGUUUAGGGAAUGGAGUGUGAUUCUCUGCUUCUACAUUGCAUUCUCAUUUAUUGGUUUUUGGUUUUUGAGACAGAGUCUUGCUGUGUGACCCAGGCUAGCCUCAACUCUGUAACUGAAGUUCUGCUUCAGUCUCCCAAUGCUGGGACUUACAGACAUGCUCGUCACCCAGUUCUUACACUCAAAUUUAAUUUAGUAGCUCUGGUGGGAAUUAAAAAACAUCGUCAUGAAUCCAAUAAUCCAAGUCAAAGCAUAAGCGACAUUUAGUGGGUAAAAGCCAGAGGGACUAUUAUUUGAUGUUUACCUGCAAAAAAUGAUUGUCGUUACGUCUGAGGUGGGACUCUGGCGUCCUCACUUAUGCCCAGUCCAUUAAAACUAAAACUCCCCAUCCUUUUGCCACAGAGAGAGAUUCCUUCUCUUAGACUUCAAUUAUUGGUAUUGCUGUCGAUAUCUACAAUUCUGCCCAGGACAGAGUAGAGGCAUUUGCACAGUGUGGAUGUUAAAAUGCUUUUGUUUUAUAAGAAAGGCUGUGUCUUAGGGUUUCUGUUGCUGCAACACAACACCAUGACCAUGAAGUCAGCUGGGGAGGAAAGGGUGUAUUCAGCUUACACUUCUACAUUGCUGUUCAAGAAAGUCAGGACAGGAACGUAAGCAGGGCGGGGACCUGGAGGCAGGAGCUGACGCAGAGGCCCUAGAGGAGUGCUGCUUACUGGCGUGCUGCCCCUGGCUUGUUCAGCCUGCUUUCUUAUAGAACCCUGGACCAGCAGUCCAGGGAUGGCACCACCCACCACGGGCUGGGCCCUCCCCCCUUGAUCACUAAAUGAGAAAUUGCCUUAUGGCUGGAUCUCAUGGAGGCAUUUCCUCAGCGGAGGCUCCUUCCUCUCUGCUGACUCUAGCUUGUGUCAAGUUGACACAAAACCAGCCAGGAACCAUAGUGACAUAUUUGUUUUUGUUUUUUUCUUUUCGAGACAGGGUUUCUCUGUGUAGCUUUGGUGCCUGUCCUGGAUCUCGUUCUGUAGACCAGGCUGGCCUCAAACUCACAGAGAUCCGCCUGCCUCUGCCUCCCGAGUGCUGGGUUUAAAGGCGUGUGCCACCACCACCCAGCUGUUUUUUUGUUUUGUUUUGGUAUACUAAUAUACAAUGAGUUAUUAAGUAUACAUUUUUGUGUCUCCUACAUACUUGGAACUUGUCACUGUGAUGAGAGUCUCUGCUCUCCUCUCUGAGCCAGUUGGCAAGAGAAUUUUACUUCCGUAGGGAAAAGUCAUCUUCCCAGUUUCAGAUCCUGAGUUCUGACGCAAGCCAAGUGUUUAUUUUGUGGUUGUUAAAGUACCUUCUUCCCAGUGUGAUUCUUAUGGCAGAACCAUAGAGUAGGAACAGCUUUUAGCAAGUCUGGAAAUUAGGAAACAUGAAUCUUUCUUUUCAAGACUUUUGGCUCUAUAUGAACUUUAGAGCUGUUCUGUCAUUUUUUUUUCUUUUUAAGUUUAAUUUAUUAAUAUUUUGCAUGGGGCAGGGGGAGGGGGGGAUAACCCCCGGGAAUCGGUUCUCUUCCUACUGUGGGAUCUUGGUGUGGAACUCAGGUUGUCAAGCCCUGAAGACAAGCCCUUUUACACACGAAGCAGUCGCGUUGGCCCAAUGUAUCAUUUUCUCUUCACGAAAGACAACUGAGAUUUUUAUUUGUUAUUAUUAUUUUUUUUUACAGUGUCUAACUAGCCUAGGAUGGACUUGAAGUCCAGGCUAGUGUUGAACUUAAUCCUCACUCUUGACUCAGCCUCAGGCGUGUUGGGAACACAGGAAUGCACUACCACAUGCAGCAGCUGGUAGUUAAAAGUUUGGCGUGGUAUGGAUCUCAUCAAAUCUGUAAAUCAAUUAAAAUAGUAUCACUGUCUUAACAAUACUAAGUGUUCCCAUCCAUGAACAUGGGCUAUCUUUCCGUUGGCUUAGGACAGAGAUUCCUACCUUUCCAUGCACACUUCCUUGAUUUAAUAUAUUCCCAUGUUUUUGUUUCUUUCUUUGUUUUCUUGAGACAGGGUUUCUUUGUGUAUCCCUGCUUUCCUAGAACUCACUCUGUAGACCAGGCUAGCCUCCAACUCAGAGAUCCACCUGCCUCUGAUGAUGCUAUUGUAAGUGGAAUCCUCACCCCCCACUUUUUUUUUUUAAGAUAAGGUCUCACUGUGUGUUCGUGGCUGGCCUGGAAUUCACUGUUUUGACUAGGCUAGCCUUGAAUUCAUGGAGAUCCACCUGCUUCUGCCUCUCAAUUGCAGAGCUUAAAGGUGUGUACCAUCACACCCAGCUGGUAUUGUUCUCUUGAUUUCGUCUUAAGAGUGUUCUUCAUUGCUAGUGUAUGGUAAUCCUGAUUGUUAUAUAUUGAUUUAUAUCUUCUGGCCUUGGUGAAUUCACCUCCUCAGCUCUCACAGCUUUGAAAAGGUUCUUGGGGGUUUUCUGUUAUUGUGGUCACAACAUCUACAAUGAGAUGGUUUUACUUCUUUCUUUCCAAUCUAGACACUUUCUAAUUCUUUCUCUUGGCUAAUUGCCCCUGUUGGGACUUGUCAAAUGUACGUGGCUAGUAUGACAUCCUGUUCUUAUUCCUGGUCCCAGAGGGAAGUUUCUACCUUCUACCAUUAGUGUCGUUCUGGAAGUGGAUCUCUCGGGCUGGGGGAUUUUCCUCGUAUUCCUAGAUGGAUGGUGUUUUUUAUUGAGACAGGAUAUUAGUUCCUAACAAUGUGUUUUCAUGAACAGAUGGGCAGGCUUUAUGGUGAGUCGAGUUGUACUGCCUGUGUCAGGAAACAUAUUUUGCUGAUGAGCGUCUCUAAGUCCCUUACAAGGUACUAAUCAAGUCGCAGACAUAGAUGCGCUCACUAAUGGCUUUUAAACAGCCCCUCAAUUGAUACACAUUGAAUGGUUUCUGAGUCUGUUAAACUGACUUCAUUAACCCAAGUUAAUUUGGGUUUGUGUUCACUUGCCUAAAGACACAGAGACAACUUGGACAUAGAAGAUACAAGUUGAUUUGUUUUUAGUGGUUGGUUCCUUUGAACGCUUUUCUAUUACCUAACCUUGGAUUCUCAGAGUCAGACGAGCUGGGUGCAGCUGUCGUCACCCUGAAGGGUCAGUGAGAGAGAGAGAGAGAGAGAGAGAGAGAGACUAACUUGCCUUAAAAUAGAGCCUCGUAUGGUCAAAUAGACUUUCCUGUGACUCAUAUUUCUGUGUGCCUCAUGAGUCAGCCCUGGCAGAAUCCAUGCAUGCAAGAAAGAAAAACUUGUCUUACUGUGGAUAAUCUAAACCUGGGUUAGAAAGUAUUUCACCGUGUAAAGAUGUUCUGGAAGAGGCUGCACGUGCGUGCUUUUGGCUCGUGUUGUUAAAAGACGACACGCGCUCCAGCAGAUUGAAGGAGGUAAUGGUUUUAACCAUUCCUUUUAUUGAUCUUUUUCUCAGUGGCAGUAGUUAUGCACAAUGUACUUGCUGUUUCCCCGCUGACAGCCACCACGAAUGGUCACUGCAUCCAUCACAGGGUUCAGAUGCCCUGUGUCAACCGGUAUAGAGGACAACAUGGAGGUUGAGGGGUCUGUUCUCGUUUGGGAUUUAAGGUCAUUACAAUGUAUGGUUAAGUCUUAAGAGAAAGGAUGGUUCAUGGCCGUAGCUUUUAUCAUCUAAUAAAAAAAGUCUUUCAACCAGCUCCGUCUAUGUGAUGUAAUCUUGUUUUCUACCUUAAUACAGACCUAGUAAAGUGUGUGAUCAUGUGGCUCACAGCUCUCCUUGACUGUGUUACAUCUGUAUUUAUGGCAGACUUUUGGUAGUUCCUAUAAAUGUACAUCACCUAUUUGACUCAUGGUUGAAGCUUUUCGACCUCUCCGGUCCUUCCUGAAGGAGAUACUAUUUUAUUAAACGUUAACUUUGUUAUGAUGUAAACAUGUUGUAUGCACAUCAGCCAAACAAAAUUUGUACAGCUGGAACAUCUGAAGAAUUAAUAAAUCUUGGUUUUGAGACCGA
Peromyscus californicus insignis is the source of this 6392-nucleotide long non-coding RNA. RefSeq lists it as uncharacterized. The record is from RefSeq and is a predicted model, not a curated record. Lineage: Eukaryota; Metazoa; Chordata; Mammalia; Rodentia; Cricetidae. The transcript has 2 exons.